RNAcentral lists this transfer RNA (89 nucleotides) under Candidatus Tagabacteria bacterium CG03_land_8_20_14_0_80_41_22. Its description in RNAcentral is "tRNA-Ser". It matches the Rfam family "tRNA". Rfam says of the family: Transfer RNA (tRNA) molecules are approximately 80 nucleotides in length. Their secondary structure includes four short double-helical elements and three loops (D, anti-codon, and T loops). Lineage: Bacteria; Candidatus Tagaibacteriota. The record is from RNAcentral.
GGAGGCGUGGCUGAGUGGUCUAAAGCGGCACGGUGCUAACGUGUUAAGGGGGUCAAACUCCUUCGGAGGUUCGAAUCCUCCCGCCUCCG